GUCCACGCUGUAAACGUUGCGAACUAGGUGUCGGGGGUAUUCACCCCUCCGGUGCCGAAGCUAACGUCUUAAGUUCGCCGCCUGGGAAGUACGGCCGCAGGGCUAAAACUCAAAGGAAUUGACGGGGGCCCGCACAAGCGGUGGAGCAUGUGGUUCAAUUCGAUGCAACGCGAAGAACCUUACCUGGGCUUGACAUCCCGAGAAUCUCUCAGAAAUGAGGGAGUGCCCGUAAGGGAACUCGGAGACAGGUGCUGCAUGGCUGUCGU
Molecule: ribosomal RNA, 266 nt
Filed under: uncultured bacterium
Lineage: Bacteria
Description: partial 16S ribosomal RNA
Rfam family: Bacterial small subunit ribosomal RNA
Source: RNAcentral